RNAcentral lists this ribosomal RNA (459 nucleotides) under uncultured bacterium. RNAcentral's name for it is "partial 16S ribosomal RNA". It matches the Rfam family "Bacterial small subunit ribosomal RNA", at positions 338 to 795 of the family's 1533-position model. The record is from RNAcentral.
CCUACGGGCGGCAGCAGUGAGGAAUAUUGGUCAAUGGGCGGAAGCCUGAACCAGCCAAGUAGCGUGCGGGAUGAAGGCCCUACGGGUCGUAAACCGCUUUUGCACGGGGAUAACACCCUCCACUUGUGCAUGUCUGCAGGUACCUUGCGAAUAGGGGCCGGCUAAUUCCGUGCCAGCAGCCGCGGUAAUACGGAAGGCCCGAGCGUUAUCCGGAUUCAUUGGGCUUAAAGGGAGCGUAGGCGGGCGUUCAAGUCAGCUGUAAAAUCGUGGGGCUCAACCGUGACCCGCAGUUGAGACUGGAAGCCUUGAGUUCACAACAGGCAGGCGGAAUUCGUGGUGUAGCGGUGAAAUGCAUAGAUAUCACGAGGAACCCCGAUUGCGAAGGCAGCCUGCCGGGGUGCGACUGACGCUGAGGCUCGAAGGUGCGGGUAUCAAACAGGAUUAGAUACCCUUGUAGUC